AUUGAACGCUGGCGGCAGGCCUAACACAUGCAAGUCGAACGAGUGGCGGACGGGUGAGUAAUGUCUGGGAAACUGCCUGAUGGAGGGGGCUAACUACUGGAAACGGUAGCUACUACCGCAUACCAUCAGAUGUGCCCAGAUGGGAUUAGCUUGUUGGUGGGGUAACGGCUCACCAAGGCGACGCUCCCUAGCUGGUCUGAGAGGAUGACCAGCCACACUGGAACUGUAACACGGUCCAAACUCCUACGGGGGGCAACAGUGGGGAAUAUUGCACAAUGGGCGAAAGCCUGAUGCAGCCAUGCCGCGUGUAUGAAGAAGGCCUUCGGGUUGUAAAGGACUUGCAGCGGGGAGGCGUUACCCGCAGAAGAAGCCACGGCUAACUACGUGCCAGCAGCCGCGGUAAUUC
Molecule: ribosomal RNA, 406 nt
Filed under: uncultured bacterium
Lineage: Bacteria
Description: partial 16S ribosomal RNA
Rfam family: Bacterial small subunit ribosomal RNA
Source: RNAcentral